Molecule: long non-coding RNA, 723 nt
Organism: Mesocricetus auratus (golden hamster)
Lineage: Eukaryota; Metazoa; Chordata; Mammalia; Rodentia; Cricetidae
Exons: 3
Source: RefSeq, a predicted model, not a curated record
CUCAGGACAAUAUCCCACACAGCUUAAGCUUUCAACUUAUAAAAGAAAAGGCCUAAGGAAUUUUCAGCUCCUAAAAAAUAACAACAUACAAAUACUCUCACAAAUGUGAUUCAGGGGACAAGUGUCCGCCCCAAGCUGGCAGUUUAACUGACAGUGUCAUCCACGCGGUACUGACUGGCUUUGGAGGCAUGGAAGACAUAGGGUGAGGAGGUAUGGAUUCUCCUCCUGUGAAUUCAAAGAGCGGCUGAGGUCAGGCACACACAGGAGGGGUACCCCAGGAAGGCUGUGAGAAGCCACAGGAUGAAGCUGUGGAACUGGAGCCUGGCUUGAGGCAGAGAUCCAAGAUGCUGGUGAUGCAGGAGCUCUGAGAUGUCUGCUAAGAAGGGCUGCGCACACCGAGAGGAACCAGCCCAAGGGAGGGAGUGUGCUGCAAGUAGCAAAGCUAGAGGAGUGCAGCCACUCAGCCUGUUGCAACUGAAGGUCCAGACUCUGGGGCUGCAGGAAUUCGUUUGCUUCUGCUGGGCUUCAGUCUUGUUUUGGGACCACAGUUGAGAGAUUGCUUUGAGUCUCAGAAGAGACUUUGGACUGUAUAACAGUGUUGAGUCUGUUAAAGACAAUGGGGAAUUUUAAAGUUGAGAUGUCAUCUCUCAGCUCUGGCUACCUGCUGCCACACCUGCUUUGUCAUUAUCAACUCCCACUCAGGAACCACAAGUCAAAAUAAAC